This is a long non-coding RNA of Hippopotamus amphibius kiboko, 2597 nucleotides long. RefSeq lists it as uncharacterized. The transcript is spliced from 4 exons. Lineage: Eukaryota; Metazoa; Chordata; Mammalia; Artiodactyla; Hippopotamidae. The record is from RefSeq and is a predicted model, not a curated record.
GAGAGGAGGAGGAGUGUGAGAGCACCAUGGGGCUGAACCCCCACAGGAGCUCAAAGGAAGGAGAACCGUGAGAGGAGGCUGGAGAAGGAGGCAGAGCCAGAGCAGGUUCUACAUAGGUCUAAGAACUCCUGAGAGCCAAGUGGUCGGACCUGACAAAAACAGCCUGUGCCAGCCCUGGGAGACUUUGAGGUCAUCAAAAACAAAGAAAUCUAAGAAAAUGGCAUAGCCAAGAGGAGCCUAAGGAGACAAACCAACAUCAUUUUUCAGAAGGUGCUGAUGUUUGCAGGCCUAUGGUGAAGCAAAUGGUUGUGAUUCACGAGGUGAGGCUUUGGGGCUCUUCUUCCUCUCUGAUGGCUCCGCCACGCUCAUGUGGGCAGGAAGGAUGGAGCUGUGCCAGGGCCGCCCUCUGACAUCAGAUCCGUGGGCACUAGAUCCUGCUUGGUGGUGAACUGGGUGCGUCAGAACCCAAGGAUUAAAUAGCUUUCGAAAUCCACUGGCUUGUCUGCGAUCGGCCAGAGGGCCGGGGCACAUACCCAGACCUUCUGCCAGCUCAGGAAUAGUGCAAAACACCAUCCAUGCAUACAUUUGGGGGAACCGGGGAGAGGCCUCCCACAAUCAGCCACAGCCCAGGCCCAAGGCUGAUGGUUAUGGCCCCAAGUGCUCGGGAAAGCUGAGCUCCUGAGAGGGGAGGAUGGGGCAGACCCUCUCUCCAGGCACCUGGGUGGGGCCUAGGGAAUCUGCCCUGCUGGCUGCUUUCCUGGUGGAAGGGAGCAGCCUAGGAAGGCUUCUGGAGAACCCAAUUGCUUGGGGGAGGGAACACUACGGUGUGUGUGUGUGUGUGAGGAGGGUGACGAGGAGCAAGGGGUAUCCUUUCUCUGCACCCAGAGGCCAUCUGCCACUUGUCCUCCUUCCUGGCAGCAAUACUGAGCCACCCAGACUCUGCUAGACAUAUGAGUGCUAAAGAUAAAAAUACUCGAAGGACAUAUGCCUCUGUGAACUGUAUUGCUAAAUGUGCUUUAGGAGUCCUUCAGCUUCCCUCUAAACCACAAUUUCACUCCACCCCUGCUGGUCCCACUUACAAGAAGAAGCAGGGAACGUAUUAUGGCCUUAAAGCCACCAUGUGUGUGAGGGCACGAGUGUGCGGAUGCAGGUGUGCCCUCUGCCUGAGCAGCUCCAGUGAGGCGGCAUCCGUAUCCCCCUGCACGUGUGUGCACGUGAGUAGGUGCUGGCGUGUGUGUGGACAUAUGUUCCCCUAUUUGUGCUUUGGUGUCUUUUGUGUGCUUGCCUUCUUGUGCGUGAGCACCCAUGGGUUUACCUGGGCACGAGGGUCUGUGUGGGUCUGUACUGGGCGUGUGCAUGGAUGUGCGCUCUUCUCAUGUGUGGUAGGCUUGCUUGUAUGUGAGGGCUGUGUGGGUGUGCACGAGUGGGUAUGCUCACGAGAGGAGUUGUGCACCCGUGUGCCUUCUGUGUGAGUACAUGCCUGUACGUGAGCACGUGCAGGGGGUCCAGCUCUGAGGAGAAAGAUUCACGCUGGCCCCUGCGCCUGCCCCGGCAGACGUGCCCCCAUUGGUGGGACGGUUAGUUUUCAUCUCUCACAGAUGAGGUGGCCAUGUCCCCCCCACAACCCUGUACCUAAUCUUCUUCACCUGAAGUUUCCCCAAACUGUGACAGUGCCGUCCUUCACCUCCCGUCUGUCUCCCGCCUUCACUAGCUCGUUGGUUUACAGCGUUCUGGGCCCCUGAGAGGCUCUGGAAGGAAAGGGCUCCCAAGUCACCUAUUUUCGGUAAAAGGUGCAUUCAGUACACCUUGUGGACAGUCUCCAUGUGCCUGAGCAGACGGAAGACCUUGAGAAGUCCUGAAGUAAAGACACUUGAUUAAAUUAGCCCCACACAGGGUUUCCUGGUUUGGAAUGACAACACCUUGCUGGAGUCGGUGCACAUCUGGGGACAUCUGCAACACGCUGUCGAGACACCCCGUUGUGUACGGGCAGCCUCCUUGCUUCUCUACGGACCGUGUGGAUGCCUCCAUCGUCUGGCUGAUUGGUGUUGUGCAGACACAGACUGGGCCUGUAGUAGGCCUGGGAAACACAUCCUGCCCUCUGCCUCUGGGGCCUCAGGGAGCUCUGGCCUUGCCCGGAGAUGCCAAGUCAGGAGAUGCCAAGUCAGGGGACACUUCUCCAGAAAUGGCUGAGGUCUCGCAUUUGGCCCCAGGCCUCAGCGCUGGUGGCCAGGUUGCCACACCUUCUCGCCUAGUCCCGGCCUGGCCUCAGGGCAGAGGAUGCCAGAGCGGUGAGCAGAAGGGAGACUCAGCUGUCCAGCCAGUCCUCCAGGGCUAGAAGCUGAGUUUCUGAUUCCCAGUCCAGUGCUCUGCCCCUCAGCCUCUGCCCUGCCAGACCAGGGGCCCAUCCAGUCCUCCGCCCCAAGACUUCCGGCAGCAAGACCUCAAAGCACGGUGGUUCUGCCAUCUUGAAGCCCCAGCCAGGGGCAGGUAGACAGCAGAGGCCUUCCUGCUAGUCCCACUCCUGAUCGGACCACUGCUUCCAGAGACAAAGAUAGAGUCAAGGAAGCUCCCUGCACUUCUCUUUCACUCCCCUGUAA